CCCCCCACUUAGCCCCACCUUUCCAGAACAGGUCCGUACAACAGCGGGACUGCAAGGUGUGUGUGUGUGUGUGUGUGUGUGUGUGUGUGUGGAUCUCAAGGGGGAGUUUUACACAGGUGUGUGAGACACUACUGCGUCUUCGUCUAGCGAGGCCGUCCUUCCAAAUGUCACGGAAACCUGGGCUUCUGAGGCCGACUGGAUCUCAAUGUUAUUACAUGUCUGUCGGUAAUGACGCCACUGUCUGAACCAGUAGGGGACUUUAACAGGGCUCGUACUCACAAAGCCUCUCAGAGUGGUCGUGCUGAUCUAGGAUCAGGUCCCCUCUUAUUCAUUAUGAUCUAGGAUCAGGUCCCCUCUUAUUCAUUAUGAUCUAGGAUCAGGUCCCCUCUUAUUCAUUAUGAUCUAGGAUCAGUUCACCUCUUAUUCAUUAUGAUCUAGGAUCAGGUCACCUCUUAUUCAUUAUGAUCUAGGAUCAGGUCCCCUCUUAUUCAUUAUGAUCUAGGAUCAGGUCCCCUCUUAUUCAUUAUGAUCUAGGAUCAGGUCCCCUCUUAUUCAUUAUGAUCUAGGAUCAGGUCCCCUCUUAUUCAUUAUGAUCUAGGAUCAGGUCCCCUCUUAUUCAUUAUGAUCUAGGAUCAGGUCCCCUCUUAUUCAAUAUGAUUUAGGAUCAGGUCCCCUCUUAUUCAUUAUGAUCUAGGAUCAGGUACCCUCUUAUUCAUUAUGAUCUAGGAUCAGGUACCCUCUUAUUCAUUAUGAUCUAGGAUCAGGUACCCUCUUAUUCAUUAUGAUCUAGGAUCAGGUCCCCUCUUAUUCAUUAUGAUCUAGGAUCAGGUACCCUCUUAUUCAUUAUGAUCUAGGAUCAGGUACCCUCUUAUUCAUUAUGAUCUAGGAUCAGGUACCCUCUUAUUCAUUAUGAUCUAGGAUCAGGUCCCCUCUUAUUCAUUAUGAUCAGUAGUAGUGCUGAUCUAGGAUCAGGUCCCUCUUAUCCAUUAUAACCUAAAGCCAAAACUGAUGCUAGAUCAGCACUCCUGUUCUGAGAUGCUUUGUGAACACGGCCCUCAUAUCUUAGAGCUGUGAUGUGGUGGCCAACUCUUGUCCUGGGAGCUACGCUCCUGCAGGGAGUUGUUCGGCCCAACAGUCAUCUUUGUUUUUCUGCUAUCCUCUCGUUUUGAGAAAGUGUAAAUAAAUAAAUACCUUUAUUUCA
Long non-coding RNA from Oncorhynchus keta (chum salmon), 1201 nucleotides. RefSeq lists it as uncharacterized. The record is from RefSeq and is a predicted model, not a curated record. The transcript is spliced from 4 exons. Lineage: Eukaryota; Metazoa; Chordata; Actinopteri; Salmoniformes; Salmonidae.